ACAGCUCAAAUUUGAAAUCUGGCCCUCGGGUCCGAGUUGUAAUUUGUAGAGGAUGCCUUUGGCGCGGUGCCUUCCGAGUUCCCUGGAACGGGACGCCUUAGAGGGUGAGAGCCCCGUACGGUUGGACACCAAGCCUCUGUAAGGCCCCUUCGACGAGUCGAGUAGUUUGGGAAUGCUGCUCUAAAUGGGAGGUAAAUUUCUUCUAAAGCUAAAUACUGGCCAGAGACCGAUAGCGCACAAGUAGAGUGAUCGAAAGAUGAAAAGCACUUUGAAAAGAGGGUUAAAUAGCACGUGAAAUUGUUGAAAGGGAAGCGUUUGCGACCAGACCUCUCCCCGGCGGAUCACCUGGUGUUCUUCACCGGGGCACUUCGCCGGGGCAGAGGCCAGCAUCGGUUUCCGCAGGGGGAUAAAAGCUCAGGGAACGUAGCUCCUUCGGGAGUGUUAUAGCCCUCCGCACAAUACCCCUGCGGGGACCGAGGACCGCGCCCCCGGGCAAGGAUGCUGGCGUAAUGGUCGCCAACGACCCGUCUUGAAACACGGACCAAGGAGUCGAACAUUUGUGCGAGUGUUUGGGUGUUAAACCCUCACGCGUAAUGAAAGUGAACGGAGGUGAGAGCCCCUAGGGGCGCAUCAUCGACCGAUCCUGAUGUCUUCGGAUGGAUUUGAGUAAGAGCACAACUGUUCGGACCCGAAAGAUGGUGAACUAUGCGUGGAUAGGGUGAAGCCAGAGGAAACUCUGGUGGAGGCUCGCAGCGGUUCUGACGUGCAAAUCGAUC
This 776-nucleotide ribosomal RNA is filed under the name Nemania lishuicola. RNAcentral describes it as "Nemania sp. YP-2021e partial large subunit ribosomal RNA". It matches the Rfam family "Eukaryotic large subunit ribosomal RNA", at positions 104 to 903 of the family's 3401-position model. Lineage: Eukaryota; Fungi; Ascomycota; Sordariomycetes; Xylariales; Xylariaceae. The record is from RNAcentral.